This is a non-coding RNA of Mycena leptocephala, 100 nucleotides long. The record is from the annotation of a GenBank genome assembly. Lineage: Eukaryota; Fungi; Basidiomycota; Agaricomycetes; Agaricales; Mycenaceae.
GGCCGUGUGGCAAAAUGGUUACUGCGUUGCUUUCCGAUCGUUACGUGCUUAGCGUAAUGGUUCAAGGCAGAGACUGUGGGUUCGAGUCCCACCAUGGUCG